RNAcentral lists this ribosomal RNA (195 nucleotides) under Gastropoda environmental sample. Its description in RNAcentral is "partial large subunit ribosomal RNA". It matches the Rfam family "Eukaryotic large subunit ribosomal RNA", at positions 1641 to 1836 of the family's 3401-position model. The record is from RNAcentral. Lineage: Eukaryota; Metazoa; Mollusca; Gastropoda.
GCGGCAACGCAAACGAAGUGGGGGACGUCGGCAGAAGCCCCGGGAAGAGUUCUCUUUUCUUUGUAAGGAACCCCAUCCCUGGAAUCGGCUUGCCCGGAGAUAGGGACCAAGGUUCCGUAAAGCACCGCGGCUCUUGCGGUGUCCGGUGCGCUUUUGUCGGCCCUUGAAAACCCCACGGAGACGGUGUUAUUUUCG